AUAGCGUAUAUUUAAGUUGUUGCAGUUAAAAAGCUCGUAGUUGGAUUUCGGGCGGGGCCUGCCGGUCCGCCUUUGGUGUGCACUGGCAUGGGCUCGCCUCGCUGGCGGGGACGGGCUCCUGGGCUUAACUGUCCGGGACUCGGAGUCGCCGAGGUUACUUUGAGUAAAUUAGAGUGUUCAAAGCAGGCCUACGCUCUGAAUACGUUAGCAUGGAAUAACACGAUAGGACUCUGGCCUAUCUUGUUGGUCUGUGGGACCGGAGUAAUGAUUAAGAGGGACGGUCGGGGGCAUUCGUAUUUCAUUGUCAGAGGUGAAAUUCUUGGAUCGCCGUAAGACGAACUACUG
This 345-nucleotide ribosomal RNA is filed under the name uncultured eukaryote. RNAcentral describes it as "SSU rRNA". It matches the Rfam family "Eukaryotic small subunit ribosomal RNA", at positions 594 to 945 of the family's 1831-position model. The record is from RNAcentral.